Molecule: long non-coding RNA, 810 nt
Filed under: Fukomys damarensis (Damara mole-rat)
Lineage: Eukaryota; Metazoa; Chordata; Mammalia; Rodentia; Bathyergidae
Description: lncRNA (ENSFDAG00000025485.1)
Source: RNAcentral
UGGGCCCUCAUCCAUUUCCGAAACAUAACACACAUCCUCUCCCCAGAUCCUCAUCGUGACCCAUAAAGUCCCGCCGUGCUCACCCCUGCCUGACACGUGAGCGAGCAGCAGAGGCACAACUGAGCCAUUUUCUCCAGGCUGACGGACGGGGACAUCGGGAGGAUCAGGUUCGCACUCCAGGCCAUCUGGGUUUGAAUCCCACCUCCCCCGUCCUCCUCCCCUCCGUGUAACACCACAGCGAGGCUCCCUGAGCAAUCUCAAGUGCGUUGGGCCAGCUGCACCUCCGCCCUUGGUCCGUGCCCUCACCAUUCGUCUCAGUAGGAUUCUCACCCAUCAUCUGGGGCAGACCUUCCUCAGGCUCAGUACCGACACACUUUGCUUGUGAGUGUCCCUUGGCUUGGCAAGUACCAGUGAGGAGACCAUUCUGCGUGCGAACCGAGAAAUCUCUUCUUCCACUGCAUUAGGGUGGUAAAAAACAGGAAACAAAUGUGUGUAUCCAUCGAUAAGGGAGUCAUGAAAUAAACAGCAUAGCUGCAGAGUGGAAUUGGAGGCUGCCUUUGAAAAUGUUACUGCAAAAGAAUAGAAAUAAAUCCAGAUUUUAUCAGUAGAUGACAGUCUGUGUGUGUGUGUGUGUGUGUGUGUGUUUACACAUGCGAGUGCACACUACAGAGAGUAGAUAGGUGGGUGGAUAGACAAUAAGACCAGGACAUACAUCAAGAUGCUAAUGCUAUUUAACAGAGUUACAAGUGAUUCUAAAUUUCUUGUCUAUGUUUUCCAAAUCUUCUACACUGGAUAUGGGUUUCUUUUAUC